RNAcentral lists this ribosomal RNA (468 nucleotides) under uncultured bacterium. RNAcentral describes it as "partial 16S ribosomal RNA". It matches the Rfam family "Bacterial small subunit ribosomal RNA", at positions 28 to 507 of the family's 1533-position model. The record is from RNAcentral.
GACGAACGCUGGCGGCGUGCUUAACACAUGCAAGUCGAACGGACAGGCCCUGCUUUUGUGGGGUGCUCGAGUGGCGAACGGGUGAGUAACACGUGAGUAACCUGCCCUUGACUUUGGGAUAACUUCAGGAAACUGGGGCUAAUACCGGAUAGGAGCUCCUGCUGCAUGGUGGGGGUUGGAAAGUUUCGGCGGUUGGGGAUGGACUCGCGGCUUAUCAGCUUGUUGGUGGGGUAGUGGCUUACCAAGGCUGUGACGGGUAGCCGGCCUGAGAGGGUGACCGGCCACAUUGGGACUGAGAUAGGGCCCAGACUCGUACGGGAGGCAGCAGGGGGGAAUAUGGCACAGUGGGCGGAAGCCUGAGGCAGCAACGCCGCGUGCGGGAUGACGGCCUUCGGGGGGUAAACCGCUUUGGCCUGUGACGAAGCGGGAGUGACGGUAAUGGGUAAAGAAGCACCGGCUAACUACGUG